GAUAAUGAAUGGUGCUCCACCUGCUAAAACAGAAAAAGAGAAGACUGCUCAUCAAACACAAGUGGCCCAGGAAGUCUCCAGUUGAACACUUUGUGCACCAGCUGCAAAGAGGAGGGUCCCAAGAGAAUUCAAAUGAUAAACACAGCCCCAAAACAAUAAAUUGUAAAAUGUACAAUUUA
This is a long non-coding RNA of Sphaerodactylus townsendi, 179 nucleotides long. RefSeq lists it as uncharacterized. Lineage: Eukaryota; Metazoa; Chordata; Lepidosauria; Squamata; Sphaerodactylidae. The transcript is spliced from 2 exons. The record is from RefSeq and is a predicted model, not a curated record.